GAGUUUGAUCCUGGCUCAGAUUGAACGCUGGCGGCAUGCCUUACACAUGCAAGUCGAACGGCAGCACGGGAGCAAUCCUGGUGGCGAGUGGCGAACGGGUGAGUAAUAUAUCGGAACGUGCCCAGUCGUGGGGGAUAACGCAGCGAAAGCUGUGCUAAUACCGCAUACGAUCUCUGGAUGAAAGCGGGGGACCUGCAAGGGCCUCGCGCGAUUGGAGCGGCCGAUAUCAGAUUAGCUAGUUGGUGGGGUAAAGGCCUACCAAGGCGACGAUCUGUAGCUGGUCUGAGAGGACGACCAGCCACACUGGAACUGAGACACGUCCAGA
This 325-nucleotide ribosomal RNA is filed under the name uncultured beta proteobacterium 382ev. Its description in RNAcentral is "bacterial SSU rRNA". It matches the Rfam family "Bacterial small subunit ribosomal RNA", at positions 9 to 335 of the family's 1533-position model. The record is from RNAcentral. Lineage: Bacteria; Pseudomonadati; Pseudomonadota; Betaproteobacteria.